GAUGAACGCUGGCGGCGUGCCUAAUACAUGCAAGUCGAGCGAACAGACGAGGAGCUUGCUCCACUGACGUUAGCGGCGGAAGGGUGAGUAAAACGUGGAUAACCUACCUAUAAGACUGGGAUAACUUCGGGAAACCGGAGCUAAUACCGGAUAAUAUAUUGAACCGCAUGGUUCAAUAGUGAAAGACGGUUUUGCUGUCACUUAUAGAUGGAUCCGCGCCGCAUUAGCUAGUUGGUAAGGUAACGGCUUACCAAAGCAACGAUGCGUAGCCGACCUGAGAGGGUGGUCGGCCACACUAGAACUGAGACACAGUCCAGGCUCCAACGGGAGGCAGCAGUAGAGAAUCUUCCGCGUUGGGCGAAGACCUGACGGAGCAACGCCGCGUGGGUGAUGAAGGUCUUCGGAUCGUAAAACUCUAUUAUUAGGGAAAAACAAUUGUGUAAUUAACUAUGCACGUCUUGACGGUACCUGAUCAGAAGGCCACGGCUAACUCCGUG
This 497-nucleotide ribosomal RNA is filed under the name uncultured bacterium. RNAcentral describes it as "partial 16S ribosomal RNA". It matches the Rfam family "Bacterial small subunit ribosomal RNA", at positions 28 to 507 of the family's 1533-position model. The record is from RNAcentral.